RNAcentral lists this long non-coding RNA (1686 nucleotides) under Callithrix jacchus (white-tufted-ear marmoset). Its description in RNAcentral is "lncRNA (ENSCJAG00000071186.1)". Lineage: Eukaryota; Metazoa; Chordata; Mammalia; Primates; Cebidae. The record is from RNAcentral.
ACCAUUAGAUGUAAAUCCAUGGAGUCUUCUUUUUCUAUAUAACGGUCCUAUCACUUACAAAUGAUAUCUGCCUUGUCUUUUUCUUUCCAGUUCUUACUCCUCUGAUUUUUUUCUUUAAAUUCUUCAAAACGUUGGGAAGGAUCUACGUUUCAGAGUCCGUCUUGCCAAUAAUUGAAUCACAUAAACUAACAGGUAUUUCAGAGAUGGUGGAGCAUUACUCGCUGCAAGUCUCCAGCAUUCAGUGGGGAAGCAUGCAUGUGAAUGGGAGAAAGGCAAGGUUAGCAUCCGCUUUUGUUUCGCUCUGUCACACUACCCUUUAGGCCAGAUCACAUGGCACUAGGAUCUAUAUUCCCCAGGGAAACCAUCUCCUGAAUUUAAAGUCAGAGCGGAAAAGAGGGCAAAGGUGAUAAGAAGCAGAGCUGAAAUUUUUAAUAGGAAAUGCCUCAUGGAGCCUACAGAGGAAACGAGAGAGAGAAGAUUGUGUAUUUUAAGGUUGUUUGCAAAUGAAGCCUAUUUCCCUUCUAGUUCUAUAUAAUAAUUACAUGUUUUUGAGGGAAAGAAAUUCUAGAAUAUUUCUCAUAGAGUCUGAAAUAGACAACCAGGUAGUUGUUUACUUAUAAGGUAAUUACUUUCUUUAGCUCAGGUGAGUGAAUUCUGUGUUUGCAAGCAAGCUCUAAGGUGGGGUAAGAUAAGAGUGCAAACACUUGCUCUGUUCAGAGGUCUGAUAUUUACAUUAAUAAAUAGUAGGUCAUGGAGGCUAAGCAAUAUCCAUAUGGGAUGAAUGCAUUCAGGAGCCUGGCCAAGAAAACAUCUCUGCACCAAAUAAGAAUGUGUAGUUAUUAAGCAUUUAAUAAGUAUUAAGUAAUAAACACACACAAGAGGUCAAAUAAUGGUGUAACGGGUGGAGGCUUUCGAAGGCCUAUGGCAAGACAUCCCAAAGCAUUAAAUAUAUGAUCCCACCGCUAUCCUCCAUCAUCUCUGUCCCUGCCAUCUGAUGACUGAUUUGUGAGACUAUAAUUCAAGAAUUUGUGUGAGGAAGGUGCACAGAUGUUUAUAGCCCCAUAUGUCAGUGCUUCUCCUCUGAAUUUUCCACAACAUGCUCACUGAAUUCACCCUGAGUCUAUCAGCCUUCCAGGUUCCUUGGGCUCUCAAGUAAAGGUGAGUGUUAAUUACUCACCAUGAAGUUGAAGAAACAAUCAGCUGAAUCCUUUUGACACUGAGUAGUGGUCUAUUUCAUAAGCAUGCAAGAAAGUAUUUUAGAACAACUUGCCGGCUGUAGUCAGGAUAGGCUGUUUCCCACCCCAGAACUCAGUGGCUCAUGACAGUAAACAUUUAUGUUUCACUCACGCAAACUCAGCUGUGGGUUUGGGCAACUCUCCAAGACACUGCUAUUCUCCAUGCGGUGACUCAGUGAUCCAGGCUGCUUUGAUCCUUUUGCUUCACCAUCUCAACAUGAAUCCUCCAUGAUCACCACAGCAGGGAAGCAAGGGCCUGGAGAAUUCUGCCCCUUUUCCAUGCUUUGGCCCACAAGUGAUGCAUGUUACUUCCAGUUGCAGUCCAUUGACCAGAACACAUCAAAGGCCUCAGUCUAAUGAGGGUAUAAGAAAAGUAGGUAUGCCCACAAAGUAUUUUAGAACUUUAUUAUUGCUGAUCUUUAUUUGACUUUUCUUUAUUUUUUCUGAAGGA